This 253-nucleotide ribosomal RNA is filed under the name uncultured bacterium. Its description in RNAcentral is "partial 16S ribosomal RNA". It matches the Rfam family "Bacterial small subunit ribosomal RNA", at positions 524 to 776 of the family's 1533-position model. The record is from RNAcentral.
UACGGAGGGGGCUAGCGUUAUCCGGAAUGAUUGGGCGUAAAGGGUCCGCAGGUGGCGUUGUAAGUCUGCUGUUAAAGAGUCUGGCUCAACCAGAUAAAAGCAGUGGAAACUACAAAGCUAGAGUAUGGUCGGGGCAGAGGGAAUUCCUGGUGUAGCGGUGAAGUGCGUAGAUAUCAGGAAGAACACCAGUGGCGAAGGCGCUCUGCUAGGCCGUAACUGACACUGAGGGACGAAAGCUAGGGGAGCGAAUGGG